This is a long non-coding RNA of Prionailurus viverrinus (fishing cat), 413 nucleotides long. RefSeq lists it as uncharacterized. NCBI's taxonomy places the organism in Eukaryota, Metazoa, Chordata, Mammalia, Carnivora, Felidae. The record is from RefSeq and is a predicted model, not a curated record. The transcript is spliced from 4 exons.
UACAAAUGGAGCCUUCUGCCUCUAGGUCACUGAUUCCGCUACCAUCUGUCAGCACGGAUUGAUUGAGGAGACUGGCCUGCUCGGCAGAUCAGUGACUUGUGCGAACUCUCCUUCCUCUCUGGAGGUCCCUCCUGCUAACUCUAGCACACCAAGUGGGAAGCCUGGAAUGCCGGCUCACGGACCUCCAGGAGACAGCAGUUUGCAAAAGCCUCGGGUUAACAGAGGCUGUGCGUAUCUGCAGGGCAGGGACAGCCUAUGCAGGGCAGGGCACCAUAUCUAUAAAAAUGGUAACGAUAAUCACAGCCCAGAGGGACCCAAGCUUAGUGGGAACAGGCACUGUGAGUUCAGGUGAGCAGAGAGAAAACACCGGAGGAGACACAGCUGUGCCACUGGAGGCCCCCUGCAGCCGGGCC